GAAGUUCAAGAUCAACCUUAGCCAUAUAGCAAGUUGGAGAUCAGCCUGGACAACAGAAGACCUGAUCUCAGACUGCACAUAAGUCUGUGUCUUUACUAUCCCAUCGCACAGCUUCUUUGCUUUGCAGUUUAUCGCUUUGCAGACAAAGUGCCAACCAUUGACGUGUGCUCGCCUUCCAGGUCAAGAGCAUCUUUGUGCAUCCGGAGCCGUUCUCAAUUGAAAACGGGCUUCUGACACCGACACUGAAAGCCAAACGAGUGGAGCUUGCCAAGUUCUUCCAGACACAAAUCAAGAGCCUCUAUGAGAGCAUCGAAGAGUAACUUAAGUUGCUGAGCUGGAAGCGGUGGGGGACGAAGCGGAAACUAUGUCCAGCGAACUUUUCCAGUAAAUGAAGCAAUCACUAAAGGACUGUCCUGAGUUGGGAGCAAAGCAACGUGGACGAGCUCGAUGUGACGCCUGCACUGCAGGCGUCUUCUGUGAUGGAAGCUCUGGAUCUUUCUCCUUGGACUUCAGUCCCUGCAGUAUUUUGCUGCCAGAUAGCAUGUGGUGCCUCUACCUGUAAAUGUCAGAUCUUUGAAAUAAACUAUUACAGAU
This 594-nucleotide long non-coding RNA is filed under the name Rattus norvegicus (Norway rat). RNAcentral's name for it is "long non-coding RNA NONRATT001877". The record is from RNAcentral. Lineage: Eukaryota; Metazoa; Chordata; Mammalia; Rodentia; Muridae.